GCAGGCUGUGUGAAGGGAGACUUUCACGCACGGUUCUGUGGGAAGGUAGGGGUGAAAUUCCCUUGCCUGAUCCAAU
Molecule: non-coding RNA, 76 nt
Filed under: Cecembia rubra
Lineage: Bacteria; Pseudomonadati; Bacteroidota; Cytophagia; Cytophagales; Cyclobacteriaceae
Source: RNAcentral